GGGAAAUGUAGUCUAUUGUUAUAGUAGUGACCAACACUGAAAACUGGGUCUGAUUGCGUUGGUUGUGUUAAAGAGGUGUAAAUGUGGUUCAGUCGGUUUAGUAGUUAGUUAACUGUCCUGUCAGAAACAGGGGCUACAGUUCUGUAAUUCUGUUUAGACGUGGUCAAGCUUCGUCGCCUUGCGUUUGGGAUUUUCCUUUCAGGUUACAACUUCAAGGAAGUAGACGCUGAAAGUCCGUUCAUGGAAAAGUAAGCUAAGUAAGUUACAGGUAGACGUUUCAUAUAACGUAACGUUAGUAAUAUCUUGUGAUAGUUGUAUAGCCAUGUUUGUGAACUUAUUGUGGUCUUUUCUUUCAGCGGUGUUUUGUACGUUGUAGUUUCAAGUGAGCCUCGCUUUUCACGCUUUCUUCAUGUUUUCCAGUCGUGGGUGGAGCAGACUAAAGCCAUACAUAACUGAGCUGCAGAUGUCCACAAGGUCCAGCGAUGGCAUCCUCAACACAGAUGUCUCAUGAUUUCGCACCAGGGACAGACGUAAGGGAGACAGUGAAGGCUCGUCUGUUGGCAUCGCAGAAGCUCCUGGUAGUAUCUUUAUACAAUGUGGCCCCACUCCUGGACUGUGUCCUGGCUGCUAGUCUUCUGUCUCAGGAUAACUACCAUGAGAUAAAAGCUGAAAAGACCCCGCAAAACCGUGCCCGCAAACUGCUCGAGAUUGUCCAGGCUCAAAUGGACGAAAGUGAGGCCACUCGCUUUCUGGAGUGUCUGAGAGAAUGCAAGCAGCACUACCCACGUCUGCGCACCUGGCUGUCUGCUGAAACAGAGAUCCCAAGUGGACCUACAGAGCGGCAGUUACAGGCCCACUUUUAUUCUCUGUGUGGCCGUAUGAGCUCCUCUGUGCUGCCCAUCUCUCUGGCUCUCUUCUCCAGCAGCACCUUGACCCAGUUUGACCUUGAGCGGAUCCAGGCAGCACCCACCCCCACCCAGCAGACCCAAACCCUGCUGUCCAUCUGCCUGUCUAAAGGAGAGAACGCAUGCAAAAGCUUCUAUGAGGCUCUUUACAGUGAAGACCAGCAGUUAGCUGAGGAUAUGAAUGUUACUAGUUUGGAGAAGGAUCUACCAAGUCUGUCGCUUAACUGCGAUUCUGAGUCCAGCAGUGUUGCCAUAGCAGUGGAGGAGACCAGAGACACAGCAAGACACCUGCCUUACUCAGGAGUACUGCAGCAGGUCAAGGCUCAGCUGGGAGAAGCUGUGGGAGAUGAAGCCAGACUAAACGUGUGUGAGCUUGGGGUGGCAGUGGGGCUGCCACGCUGGACGGUCAGAGAGUGUCUUCUGGAGGGAGUCAGCAUAGAGGAUGCUUCUCAGCUGGAGGCUGUGGUGUCCCUCUUCAUGGACAAGACCCAGGAGGCUGAUCGGCUCAUGAGCAGAGUAGCAGAACUGGGCAUUCAAAGGCUGCAGCUCUCUGAGAGGGGCUGCUUGUCCCUGAAGUUGCUCCAGGAGGCUGAAGCUGUCCUCCGCAGUGGCAGCCACAGCCACCCACACACCUGGGACCACUUGCAUGAUCAAGAGCACCUGCAUGGCCCAGACCAGCUGCAUGUCGGGGACUGUGGCGAGCAGUGCAGGGUGUGGGCCAUCUUCAGCUUUCUACUGUGGGACUGCCUGGCCGAGGCUCUGGAGGAACCAGAGAUGAAGCCCAAUAGCUGGAGUAAAGGAGGAAGCCUAGCUGGAGUGCUGCAGCAUCUCCAGGGCUGCGAGAGGGUGGAGGCUGUUCUACUGAAGGAGCUAGAGCAGUGCUGGGAGGAGGGAGGAGGUGAGAACCUACUGCAAAGCAUCAGGCUUCUGGCUCAGAUUUUGAGGGACUUGCACCCUCUUCAGAACUACCUAAAACUUUCCGGACCUGUGGAUGGACUGUACACCUGUAGACUAAGCAGGAUCCACAGGGUCACCUCUUUCCAGGGCAUUUCUGCCAGAGUCAUCCGGAAAGCCCUGAACAGUGUCAUUCCUGCCUCAGUGCACCAAGAUUUGAUGCCACGAGCGCAACAAUACAGGGAUGUGUGUCUUAAGGUUGCACGAUUGCUGCAUACAGUACAGCCAGAAAGGGGCAUUAGUGACUUCACAGAUGCUCCCAUUGCUGAAGUCACCCAGCACAUUUGCCUUGUGCUUUCAAGGCCAGCUUUUAACUCUCAAGCCUUUGACGCUGGAAUUCGGCACCGCUUACUGGCUCUCAUAGAAUUUAAUCCUGCACAACUGGGCCUUGGCCCCCUGAUGCAGCUGCACCAGGAGACCCUGUCUGACCUUCUCCACUACCUUCAGCCAGGAGAGCACCACAGCUUCUGGUUUGACGUACAAUCCGUUCGAGUGCUCGGGCAGCCGCGGCUGCUUUCAGUCAGCAGCACCAGGGGGCUGGUUGCCAUUGACAAUGGGGUGGAGGAGAACUUUCGUUUCAUAACGUCUGAGGCAACUUCCUUCCUGGUGCGGCUCCGCUGCCUUGGCUACGAGGAGGCCAAAGGACACUUCUUGGUUAGCGAGCCACACUGCUUCUCCGCCUCACAGCUGGGGGAGGAAAGCCAAUGUGCCAUUCGCUGGCUAGGGGGGCAGAUUUUGGCAGAGAAAGAAAAUAAAAUGUGGAUGAGAGAAGGAGGAAGUGGAUGGAGGGAGGAACUGCAGACUGUGGCACAGAGACAUUCUGUCCAGCUCUUUGACGAGGGCUGCCUCUUCAAGGUCACAACCUUUGAGAUAGAGUGUGAGGUCAAGUUCAUCUACAGGUGUGGGAGGCUGUGGGCUAAAGCACAGAAAGGCUGUGAGGUGCUUUGA
Molecule: long non-coding RNA, 2807 nt
Organism: Pygocentrus nattereri (red-bellied piranha)
Lineage: Eukaryota; Metazoa; Chordata; Actinopteri; Characiformes; Serrasalmidae
Source: Ensembl